UGGGGAAUAUUGCACAAUGGGCGAAAGCCUGAUGCAGCGACGCCGCGUGAGGGAUGACGGCCUUCGGGUUGUAAACCUCUUUCAGCAGGGAAGAAGCGAAAGUGACGGUACCUGCAGAAGAAGCGCCGGCUAACUACGUGCCAGCAGCCGCGGUAAUACGUAGGGCGCAAGCGUUGUCCGGAAUUAUUGGGCGUAAAGAGCUCGUAGGCGGUUAGUCGCGUCUGCUGUGAAAACUCGAGGCUCAACCUCGGGCUUGCAGUGGGUACGGGCUGACUAGAGUGCGGUAGGGGGUGACUGGAAUUCCUGGUGUAGCGGUGGAAUGCGCAGAUAUCAGGAGGAACACCGAUGGCGAAGGCAGGUCACUGGGCCGCAACUGACGCUGAGGAGCGAAAGCAUGGGGAGCGAACAGGAUUAGAUACCCUGGUAGUCCAUGCCGUAAACGUUGGGCACUAGGUGUGGGUCCAUUCCACGGAUUCCGUGCCGCAGCAAACGCAUUAAGUGCCCCGCCUGGGGAGUACGGCCGCAAGGCUAAAACUCAAAGGAAUUGACGGGGUCAUAGCUGUUUCC
Molecule: ribosomal RNA, 567 nt
Filed under: uncultured bacterium
Lineage: Bacteria
Description: partial 16S ribosomal RNA
Rfam family: Bacterial small subunit ribosomal RNA
Source: RNAcentral